CACCAGUGUAAUUCUCCCCUUUGAAACUAACUUCAAACUCCAGUUUGUGAACAAAGUCCUGUCUGUCUUCUGAAUAGGAAUCUGAAUAGUCCGACCACUGACCAAACUCCAUUUGUUAACCACUGCCUAUUUGUACCUUCCACUGAAUGACUCUUUUUUCAUUCCACACGUCCGAUCCCAAUGGAAAGAGCUACUGAAGCUAAAAGAGAAUAAGUGGAGACAACAACUGGAGGAAAACCAAGAGUCAAUAAUAUUUGGAAUAUACUGUAUGGGAAAAUAUUUAUUUUUAGGAGAGCUCCAUCACAGGGCAAAUGAUUAUUUUCCUGAUGCAGCAAACUGGCUUAAAUGAAAAUCCUACAUCUGUACCUGGAGUGGUGAGGUGACCAUACAGUGUUCCAUGUUCUCCUCCAUACGUCCUCCUGACUGUGGAUAGCUGACCACUGAGAGUGACCAGGCCCAGGGACCAGACUGUAUGCCCAUCAGCCUCUCUCUCCCCUCUCACCGGGAGCACGCUGCAGUACUCCCGCAGGUCCGGCCUGAGCAGAGUGAGGGUGAAGGAGUGUGUGUCUGAGGGAGGGAGAACAAGGGGGGCUGUAGCCGGUGGGGAUGUAGGGCCAUAAGCCAUUCACCAAGGCCUGAGGUAAAAUGUGUGUGUGUAUGUGUGUGUGUGCGAGCCAGAGGCUGCAGCCACGUGACCAUGAAGUGGCAGCAGGGAUAAUCCUAUAAUGCCUGUCACAAUGAGAUUUGAUUGGAGUCUUGAACACUGGGCUUCAUAGUGUCAAGUGUACCGAGCAUGUAAUACCCCCAUCCACGCACACUGCUAAUGGGGAUCUCUGCUGGGUUUAAUACUGAAACACAUCUAGACUGUGUUAACUCAUUAUAGCAGUUGAGUCCAGCUCUUCAUUGGAAAAGAAAUGACAAACUCAAUAUGACUUUUAUAGUUAAAAAAUAUGAGGAGAAAAAGUUUCAGCAUGUAGCCUAUCCAAGCAUAGAGAGCAGUUAUAGCCAAAGAAUGAAUGACAAAUGAGAUGGUUUAGAGAUUAUGAAUGGAGAGAUACAGGAUGUGUCUGUCUGUGCUCUAAAGCAUAAGUCUACUGCACCAGAUCAGAAAACUUUCUCCACCUUAGUAAGGUAUUUAUCAUGUUAUUUGAAAAGGCAAAUGCUUUCCAAUGCCCUUUAUGCCAACACUGUCACUAUAUAUGAGUCAUAUACGGCAUCUCCUAAAUUCACACUGAAUCUUCAUCUCAAAUGGCAGAUCACUCCUGUCCAAUCCCAGUCCAGGAAAAUGUAUGAGUUAAUGCCAGAGGUCAGAUGUCAAAUGCUUCUGAAUGCCCACCCUGUUCCCUAUAUAGUGCACUAACUCUGGUCAAGUAGUGCUCUAUAUACUGCAGGCAAUAGAGUGCCAUUUCAGACGCAGCCCAGGUAAUGUCCACCAGGGACCAGAACUGCAGGUAAUGUCCACCAGGGACCAGAACUGCAGGUAAUGUCCACCAGGGAACAGAACUGCAGGUAAUGUCCACCAGGGACCAGAACUGCAGGUAAUGUCCACCAGGGAACAGAACUGCAGGUAAUGUCCACCAGGGACCAGAACUGCAGGUAAUGUCCACCAGGGACCAGAACUGCAGGUAAUGUCCACAAGGGACCAGAACUGCAGGUAAUGUCCACCAGGGACCAGAACUGCAGGUAAUGUCCACCAGGGACAAGAACUGCAGGUCAUGUCCACCAGGGACAAGAACUCAUAACUGCAGGUCAUGCCUGUGAAACAUUAACAUCAGUAUUUGUAAGUCUCCUGAUGCAUGAGAGACAAUUAGAAGAGACCUUAUCAACAGUGAUUUGCAGCAUUCUUGUGUCUGCACAAAGAAACAUAUAACCCAAGAUCUAGGCCAGAAAUAAGCUUAAACAGGGUAGUUGCCAAGGAAAUGUAUUUGCAACAUACAGUAAAUGUCCUGGUUUGUGAAGCUCUUUUAAGCACUCAGAGGUAACACAUUCCUUGAGAAAAAUGCAGGUAUUGUACUCAGUGUUAUUUAUUUAUAUAUUUUUAUUUAUCCCCUUUUCUCCCCAAUUUCGUGGUAUCCAAUUGGUAGUUACAUUCUUGUCUCAUCGCUGCAACUCCCGUACGGACUCGGGAGAUGCGAAGGUCAAGAGCCGUGCACUGCGCCACAGGAGUCGCUAGUGCGCGAUGGGACAAGGACAUCCCUGCCGGCCAAACCCUCCCCUAACCCGAAUGACGCUGGGCCAAUUGUGCGCCACCCGAUGCAGUACCUUAGACCACUGUGCCACUCGGGAGGCAGUUAUACACUUCUUACGACUAGUCGGCUCUCGACAGUAUGAACCAGCACAAAGUAAAGCAACAGCUGGUGUGUUCCACCAUAUAGAGCACCACAGUGGAGGUGUCAUAAUACCCAUAAAACCUAGCGGUCAAACAGGGAAAUGGUUCCAAUAGUUGUUCCACCAUCCAUUUUUCCCAUAUAAGAUUAAAGAAACACUUCAAAUAAGUGCUGUGUUGGUGUAUGCUUACACUGGCAUGACGUUUUGAUAACCAUGUCAAUCUCUCUCGUACAAGGUGGCUUUUAUCAAUAUAUUCGGCUCUAUUUACUCUCAGAUUCAAAAAUGCUAAUUAGCAUCAAAGUAGAUAUCAUGCAAAACUACAAAUACCUACAAGCUCUAGCUGACACCUUUCCUGACAGGUACUGUGUCCAUUUAAAACUUGCACAAGACAGUUCACAGAAUUGUCCAUUUAAAUAAAUGUAGCCAAUUUAUUCAUUACCAUAUUUAGCUAGCAUUAGAUGGUUAAUUCAGAGAUUUGCACCUUUGCUUUGAUUCGGCAGUCUCGUCCAGAUCAUCAUGGCAUUUGUAGGUCUUUAAGAUAAAAGUCACCUUGCCCUAAAGAGAUAUACACAGUUAUCAAAACGUCACGUCAGGGUAAGUCUACAAGAAUCACAGCCCUUAUUUGAAGUGUUUCUAAAAUCUCCUAUGGGAAGAAUUAAUGGUGGAAAAACCAUUUCCCUGCUUGACCACUGGGGUUUAUUCACUGAAACCUGAGAAAGUGCUUUGAACAUUUGACUGUAUUAUAAAGGAAAGAUGGUACAGUACAAUAAAACCAGGAAGGGGCAACUAAUAUCGUCAGUUUGGUUGGUCAAAGGUGUUUUGCAUCUCCUUGACUUAAAUGUAAAUUACACCAUGUGUGAUCAAUGACAUAAUGACAAUAAAUCCCCAAGCCAUUCAUGCAUAGGCCACAGUACACUUCUGAAAAGGCAUGUUCUGACACUGCAGUGUAACUGAGUCACACUCAGUUUGCAGAUGCUGUCAGGUGUUUUCCUAGUUUUUCCCAGGUGGUUCCCAUGUGUUUUUCAGGUGAAAGUCCAGUGUUGUCCUCUGACAGAGUCUGAGGCUGCUCUCCACACCUUUCCACUAUCCUGGCCACAAUUCCACCCAGAUUCACUCUGACAAAGUGUUUUACGGUGCUUGACACUCUAACAGGACUCCUCCUGAAAUGUGCUGUUAUGAUUACAUUCAGCCCACUGCCUAUAGCGGUCCUUCAUUCAUCAUGUUAUGCUACACUCCGAAGCUUUCACAUCAGUCUCAUCAGUCAGUCUCAGCUUAUUAUGGAGCCCUUUUUAACAACCUUCAUAUCGUCGCCACACCUCCUAGAUUGCAGUCGUGUCAAAACAAAUGGCGAUGAUAUUUUCUACAUUGAAUGGACCUGCCAUAAGAGAAACCCUCUGCAGUGUGUAUUGUACACUACAGUUUAAACAAAGUCAACAGUUGGUGUGAGCUCCACCAUAAUGCACCGAAACCGUGAGAUGAUAAAAGACAGAAACUGUGUACUCACCACCAGCGAAUGGAAACUCCAUGCUUGUACUGACUUGGAAGUUUACAUUAACCAUCUCUCUCCCUGUUUCUUUCUUAUGUGUUUUCUUUUUCUUCUGUAUUCCCAAAGUUCUAGGGUUUAAAAUAUGGAAGUUAGCCACUGGCUGCGUUAUAAUGAGGAAGGUGGUGUUGGUGCGAGGUAAGGCCCCAGCAUUAGGCAGGUACUUCGAGCUGUUAUCUUAUUGAUUUUUCUAAUCUGAGGAAAAUGUGGGCGGAGAUGUUAAACAGUAACCAGGCUCAUAAAGAGACCACAUAUAUAUGGCAGGAAGCUUUCGCUAUAGAAACAAGAUGGUAGAAACAAAAAGCCUGUCUGUAGGCAAGUUUAUUUUAUUAAUGUGCAUUGAGUAAAGGAAGGAAGGAAGAACAGGAGUAAAUGAAGGAACGAAGAACUCCCCUGCAAGAGGGAAGGUGGAAAAAAGGGACAUGAAAGAGAGAGAGGACUUGAGAGGGUGUCACCUCCCCACCUCAGGAUGGUGAGUGUGAAUUCUCCAGGUUACGCAAUGAAUGAACAGAAAAAUACUGCACAAAUACAGUAACAUACAAAUAUCCCUGCGAAUUGCAGUAAGUUGAUAACAUGGUACAGGUCAAGUUCUCUUCUCACACUGAUAUUGUUACAAAGUAGUUCAUUCGUUUCCCUUGUGGGUACUUUCACUUUUGGUUGCAUGUAUGGGUCAGUUGCUGUCCUGAAAUGGAAUUUCCCAUGUUGGCCAUUUCCCACAGAAUCAGAUAUCCUCUGAACACGUUGAAAUGUUUGUUGAUUGAGUAGGAGUCGUAUAAUUUCACUCUUCAAAUAUAUUUUACAAGCAUGAACAUGUAAAGAGGGGUGUAUGCAGUACAUAUUAAGACUUCAUGGUAGAGUAUUGGAUUAUCGGUGUGAACCAUUUUGGACAUGGAAUAAAAUACAAAAAUCAUAUUUUCAUCCCCGUCUCUCAUUGUUAAUGGAUAUAAACCAAUUGAAUCUCAUAAUUAUGACCAUAAAAGCCUCAUUAGAGUCCAGUUUAAUAGUGGAGAUUGAUUCUCCAUAUUAAUCUGCAGAGAGUCUAUGAGGUGAAAACCAGUAGAGUGGAUCCCCUAGCCCCCCUUAGACUCCCCUAGUCUCACCUUUCCUAGCCUCUCCUAGCCUCACCUUUCCUAGCCUCCCCUAGCCUCACCUUUCCUAGCCUCCCCUAGUCCCCUUAGCCUCCCCUAGCCUCACCUUUUCUAGCCUCCCCUAGCCUCUCCUAGCCUCCCUUAGCCUCACUUCCCCUUGACUCUCCUAGCCUCCUCCUAGCCUCUCCUAGCCUCUCCUAGCCUCUCCUAGCCUCCACUAGACUCCUAGUUAAAUGAAAACAGAUGCAGGCCAGGGGACAUUUGAGAUAACAUGCACAUGUAGCCAGUCAUAGUUUCCAAUUUAUAAUAUCUAUGCUGACAUGCUGUGUUUAGGUGUACAUUAAUAUUAAGAUGGGAUUGGCAAGGAAGAAAUAGGAAGAAAAUCUCAUUUUAAUACAGAUAUAAGUGAAAAAGCAACCUGGAACUGUAAGGUUUAAACACCCACUACUGAAUUAAACUCCUUUCUUUUUUAUUCAAAUAAUUAUUGACAGUUAUUUCACAUUCAGGCCAAUCAUGAGCUGUAAUAAGUGUAUUACGAUGUUAUAUAAAAAAAAGAAUUGGUCUACAAGAGAACAAAUAACCAACAUGAUCUCUAAAUCUACAGUAAACAAAUUUGUUAUAAAAUAAUAAUAAUAAUAAUAAUAAUAAUUAUUAAAAAACAGUAAAUAUAAAAGUGCUUAUUUUUAGCUUCGCAAAAUGUCAAUCAAGAGCCAUAUAAUCAACCAAGAGCAGUGCAAACAAUUUGUGGAUUUAUCAAACACGUUGGCGUAAGCAUACAAAUACACUACAUGACCAAAAGUAUGUGGACACCUUCUCAUCAAACAUCUAAUUUCAAAAUCAUGGGCAUUAAUAUGGAGUUGUUCCCCCCUUUGCUGCUAUAACUGCCUCCACUCAACUAGGACGGCUUUCCCCUAGAUGUUGGAACAUGCAGGGACUUGCUUCCAUUCAGCCACAAUAGCAUUAGUGAGGUCGAGCACUGAUGUUGGGCAAUUAGGCCUGGCUCGUAGUUGGUGUUCCAAUUCAUCCCAAAGGUGUUCGAUGGGGUUAAGGUGGGGUUAAGGUCAGGGCUAUGUGCAGUCAAUUCAAGUUCUUCCACACCAAUCUCACCAUACUAUUUCUGUAUGGACCUGUAUGGACCUCUCUUUGUGCACGGGUGCAUUGUCAUGCUGAAACAGGAAAGGGCCUUUCCCAAACUGUUGCCACAAGCCACAAAGUUGGAAGCACAGAAUCGUCUAGAAUGUCAUUGUAUGAUGUAGCGUUAAAAUUUCUAUAGACUGGAACUAAGGGGCCCGAACCAUGACAAACAGUCCCAGACCAUUAUUCCCCCUCUACCAAACUUUACAGUUGACACUAUGCAUUGGGGGCAGGUAGUGUUCUCCUGGCAUCGCGAUUCAUCACUCUGGAGAAUGCGUUUCCACUGCUCCAGAGUCCAAUGGCGGCAAGCUUUACACCCCUCCAGCUGACGCUCGGCAUUGCCAUUGGUGAUGUUAGGCUUGUAAGAGGCUAAUCGGCCAAAACCCAUUUCAUGAAGCUCCAGACUAACCAUUCUUGUGCUGACGUUGCUUCCAGAGGCAGUUUGGAACUUGGUAGUGAGUGUUGCAAACGAGGACAGACAACUUUUAUGAUUUAAACGCGAAACACACUUCAGCACUCAACGAUCCCAUUAUGUGAGCUUGUGUGGCCUACAACUUCACUGUUGAUACUCCUAGACGUUUUCACUUCACAAUAACAGCACUAACAGUUGACCGGGGCAGAUCUAUCAAGGCAGACAUUUCAAGACCUGACUUGUUGGAAAGGUGGCAUCCUAUGGCGGUGCCACAUUGAAAGUCAAUGAGAGAUUGCAUGACGGUGUUCUUGCUGACACCUGUCAGCAAUAUGUGUGGCUGAAAUAGAGAAUCCACUGUUUUGAAUGGGGUGUCCACAUACUUUUGUAUAUAUAGUGUACAUUGCACUCAUCUUCUUAACAUUUUCAAAAAAGGCCAUAAUCAAAUGAAUACAACAGAAGUACUGUCUGGUGUUUGGUAGCUGGGUUCUUUCUGUGUCAUGGCGAGAAAAUGGAGUUUUGCAACCCAAGAGUUUACAUAGAUUUACGUUCACAACAUCAUGACCGAGGGGGAAAAACAUUCUUUCCCUAACAUCCAGUGGAUGGAUCAAACAUUAGUUUAUGAUAAACACAAAAAUAGUGGUACUAUAAUUGAAUCGCUGAAAAAAAAGCAGGUCUUGUGCUUUGAUUAGUUUUUAUGUUUAGAAAUCCUUCACCUUUCUUUCACACACCCUCUCUUGCAGUUGUUUGUUGCUGAGAUGAAUGGAACAGAAUAAUUGACCAGAAACAAUGAACUCUUAAAAGUCUUCCAUUAUAACAGGGAAAGUAUGACUGAUGUCUUUCUAAUACCUUUUUCUUUUCUUGGCUUUGGCUUUUGAACCACUGAAGGAACACUGCUUUCUGUUACAUGAACCUCCAUAUUUUGAUGGACAGGCAGAGCACGGUUUGCCACUCUUAUAGGGAGCCUCUCCAACCCAGUUCCCCCUGGAAGAGAAAUAAAACAUGGUUAACUGCU
Long non-coding RNA from Oncorhynchus masou masou (cherry salmon), 7517 nucleotides. RefSeq lists it as uncharacterized. The record is from RefSeq and is a predicted model, not a curated record. The transcript is spliced from 2 exons. Lineage: Eukaryota; Metazoa; Chordata; Actinopteri; Salmoniformes; Salmonidae.